UGGGGAAAGCGGGCAAUUGCGGUAAUUGAAUCAAUUACUGAGGAAAGUCCGAACUCCAAAGAACAGUAUGCCGGUUAAUGGCCGGGCAACAAUGGCAAUUCGCCAAAGUUGACGGAAAGUGCAACAGAAAAAAUACCGCCUUUUUCGAAAGGUAAGGGUGAAAUGGUGAGGUAAGAGCUUACCGCACAAUUGGUAACAAUUGUGGCAUUGUAAACCCCAUACGGAGCAAAGCCAAAUAAAAAUACUUUAUCAUCUCGGUGAUAACUAUAUUGUUCGUGUAGAUAGUAUUUGGGUAGGCUGCUUGAGGAUAGUAGCAAUACUAUUCCCAGAUAAAUAAUUGCCUCCUUCCAUUUUUUUUGGAAGAAGACAGAAUUCGGCUUACAGCUUUCUUCACUGU
RNAcentral lists this RNase P RNA (397 nucleotides) under Kapaibacterium sp. (SeqCode). Its description in RNAcentral is "RNase P RNA component class A". It matches the Rfam family "Bacterial RNase P class A". Rfam says of the family: Ribonuclease P (RNase P) is a ubiquitous endoribonuclease, found in archaea, bacteria and eukarya as well as chloroplasts and mitochondria. Its best characterised activity is the generation of mature 5'-ends of tRNAs by cleaving the 5'-leader elements of precursor-tRNAs. Cellular RNase Ps are ribonucleoproteins. Lineage: Bacteria; Pseudomonadati; Bacteroidota; Eximiradiia; Eximiradiales; Kapaibacteriaceae (SeqCode). The record is from RNAcentral.